GAUGAAGAACGCAGCGAAAUGCGAUAAGUAAUGUGAAUUGCAGAAUUCAGUGAAUCAUCGAAUCUUUGAACGCACAUUGCGCCCGUCAGUAUUCUGGCGGGCAUGCCUGUUCGAGCGUCAUUUCAACCAUCAAGCCCCCGGCUUGUGUUGGGGACCUGCGGCUGCCGCAGGCCCUGAAAAGCAGUGGCGGGCUCGCUGUCACACCGAGCGUAGUAGCAUACAUCUCGCUCUGGGCGUGCUGCGGGUUCCGGCCGUUAAACCACCUUCAUAACCCAAGGUUGACCUCGGAUCAGGUAGGAAGACCCGCUGAACUUAAGCAUAUCAAUAAGCGGAGGA
This 336-nucleotide unclassified non-coding RNA is filed under the name soil metagenome. Its description in RNAcentral is "partial contains 5.8S ribosomal RNA, internal transcribed spacer 2, and large subunit ribosomal RNA". The stretch from base 1 to 120 matches the Rfam family "5.8S ribosomal RNA", at positions 35 to 154 of the family's 154-position model. The record is from RNAcentral.